GAUGAACGCUAGCGGCAGGCUUAACACAUGCAAGUCGCGGGCGAGCAUGUUACUUGGCGUUGUCCACGUAAAUUAGAUGGCGGACCCGGCCGGCACGGGUGGAGUAUCGCGUAUCCAACCUUACCCAUAUCCACGGGAUAGCCUGCCGAAAGGCAGAUUAAUACCGUAUGUUGUCGCACGCUGGCAUCAAAAUGCGACGAAAGGCUUAGCGGAUAUGGAUGGGGAUGCGUCCGAUUAGCUUGACGGCGGGGUAACGGCCCACCGUGGCGACGAUCGGUAGGGGUUCGUGAGAGGAAGGUCCCCACAUUGGAACUGAGACACGGUCCAAACUCCUACGGGAGGCAGCAGUGAGGAAUAUUGGUCAAUGGGCGUAAGCCUGAACCAGCCAAGUAGCGUGCAGGACGACGGCCCUAUGGGUUGUAAACUGCUUUUAUG
RNAcentral lists this ribosomal RNA (435 nucleotides) under uncultured bacterium. RNAcentral's name for it is "bacterial SSU rRNA". It matches the Rfam family "Bacterial small subunit ribosomal RNA", at positions 28 to 440 of the family's 1533-position model. The record is from RNAcentral.